Molecule: long non-coding RNA, 1583 nt
Organism: Onychomys torridus (southern grasshopper mouse)
Lineage: Eukaryota; Metazoa; Chordata; Mammalia; Rodentia; Cricetidae
Exons: 3
Source: RefSeq, a predicted model, not a curated record
UAUGUAUAUAUGUAAAAGAGCCCAAAAUUUGAGGAGUGAAGGGGACAUGAUCAUUCUUGAUAAUAAAAAACACUAUAAUUCUAAAUAUAUUUAAUAUGUUUAAAUUUUCUUUAACUCUCUUCAUCAUAAAAUGCUAUCUUGACUUCAUGCUGAUUAGUAAGGAAAGAAAUGAGGGUGACACAUUUGCAUAAUGCAUCACACUAAUACAAUUUGUUCUUCCUGAGGAAUUGUUAAGAGACUCAAUCAAGAAGGCUCCUAUCAGAGGACCAGCAAACAGGACCUGACAAAAGAACUUCAAGCUAUGAUGCACAGUAGACUGGGGAGACCGAAGAUCUUUUCUUGAAGACAAGAAAGGAAGCUGAAUUUAAUGAAGGACAUAAUAAGAUACACCAAGCAUAUGGGAAGAAAAAAAUUAAUAAGCUCACCUCUUUCAAGUAGCUUCCUCCACCAGAAUAUCAAUAAGUUCCAAUUGAAGAGCGGAUUCUUUUGCAAUUCAGGCAUGUGCCGGCGAUAACGGGCGAGUUGGCAAGCAGAGAGGCAGAGAUGGAUUAAUUAUGCAGAGAACAUGGAAAUUCUGCUUAUCAUCGGCUAGCAAAGGAGCCCGGCUCACAUAAUCAGCAAACGAAGGGAGAGGGAAAAAAUAACAAUGCAAUGGCACCUUCCAGCCCGUCAUCAGGAUUUUUUCUACCCCCUUGUAAUUAAAAAAUAACAUACACUUAUAGCCCUAUCUCCUGUGCAGGCAAGGAGUGGAUGUCCACAAAAUAAUUGCACUGGAUAUUAGAGCUGGCACCACUGGCUGUCCAGCCUUGCCUGCUCACCUUCUUUCUCUGUUGGCCUCUCAAGGCACUUUGCUUCUGAGCGCAGUCCAAUCAGACGGUGUCUCAGACGACGACGCUCUAGUUCAGUUUCCAAAAACCUUAAAUUGGCACCUUAUCAUGAUCCACGCAAAUACACAUACAUAUAUGAUAAAUAUUUACAGGGCUGACUCUGGAGAAAGCUUGGGACCUGAUCACCUGCAGAUUAUCUGCUCAGUUUCGGAGUUCUUUUCCUUUUUUCCCCCACUCAUGAAACAUGUCCAAAAAGCCUUCAGUUUGCAAGUGGUUGGAUUAAAAUGGUGAGCCGUGCAAUGACCACGCUCUCUUCUCAAAUGAUACCACUUAUUUACAACUCUCUUUUCUACCCCCUUUGCCAAUUGACUUCAUACCUUCUAGUAUGCACUGAUAAAAAAUUAAAUCUGUGAUUCCAAACCAGAAGUCAGAAUUCUGUAUUGUUAGUGUGAAAUAUGACAGCUCAAAGCUUUCUAUGUCUCUGAAUGCCAAAACACUACAAUAAACCUAGUUCCCUGCUUUAAAGAAAAUCGUGUUUAAGCUCACAUACGUACCCAGGUGUUUCUCUACUUAGAAUACUAACAGGCGUGUUAAAUAAUGAUGCUUAGCAGCAGAAGCUAUAGAGCUAGCUAGGCUCCCUUUUGCAAUCAUAACUCUAAUCAUUUGACCUAAUUAAGGGCAUAAGCCCAAGAGGCUCUGGACACAUCAGCGACCAUUCCUUCCUGCAAUGUUAUUGUUAAGCUACAGAACGAUAAA